UCCCGCGUAGCUCAGCCGGUAGAGCAGCUGACUGUUAAUCAGCGGGUCGUAGGUUCGAGUCCUACCGCGGGAGCCA
Molecule: transfer RNA, 76 nt
Filed under: Chloroflexota bacterium
Lineage: Bacteria; Bacillati; Chloroflexota
Also listed under: 1 other name
Description: Chloroflexi bacterium tRNA-Asn
Rfam family: tRNA
About the family: Transfer RNA (tRNA) molecules are approximately 80 nucleotides in length. Their secondary structure includes four short double-helical elements and three loops (D, anti-codon, and T loops).
Source: RNAcentral